UGCAUAUCAAUAAGCCGAGGAAAAGAAACCAACAGGGAUUGCCUUAGUAACGGCGAGUGAGCGGCAACUGCUCAAAUUUGAAAUCUGGCCCUUUCAGGGUCCGAGUUGUACUUUGCAGAGAGUGCUUUGGCGUGGGCGGCGGUCUAAGUUCCCUGGAACAGGACAUCGCAGAGGGUGAGAAUCCCGUAUGUGGUCGCCUGCCCUCGCCGUGUAAAGCCUCUUCGACGAGUCGAGUUGUUUGGGAAUGCAGCUCUAAACGGGAGGUAAAUUUCUUCUAAAGCUACAUACUGGCCAGAGACCGAUAGCGCACAAGUAGAGUGAUCGAAAGAUGAAAAGCACUUUGGAAAGAGAGUCAAACAGCACGUGAAAUUGUUAAAAGGGAAGCGCUUGCAGCCAGACUCGCCCGCCGUUGCUCACCCGGGCUCUUGCCCGGGGCACUCUUCGGCGGGCGGGCCAGCAUCAGUUUGGGCGGUCGGACAAAGGCCUCUGACACGUACUUCCCUUCGGGGUUGACAUAUAGGGGAGGCGAAAUGCGACCAGCCCGGACUGAGGUCCGCGCAUCUGCUAGGAUGCUGGCGUAAUGGCUGUAAGCGGCCCGUCUUGAAACACGGACC
RNAcentral lists this ribosomal RNA (614 nucleotides) under Lacellina macrospora. Its description in RNAcentral is "eukaryotic LSU rRNA". It matches the Rfam family "Eukaryotic large subunit ribosomal RNA", at positions 37 to 667 of the family's 3401-position model. The record is from RNAcentral. Lineage: Eukaryota; Fungi; Ascomycota.